AUCGCUCCUCGGCCUUUGGGCUAAGAUCAGGUGUAGUAUCUGUUCUUUUUUUUUUUUUUUUUAGUAUCUGUUCUUAUCAGGGUAAUAUCUGAGCUGUCCUCUAUCCGAGGAUGGAUUUUUGGACUUAGGAGGUGGAAUAGGAGCUUGCUCCGUCCACUCCACGCAUCGACCUGGUAUUGCAGUACCUCCAGGAACGGUGCACUCCCU
This 207-nucleotide small nuclear RNA is filed under the name Echinops telfairi (small Madagascar hedgehog). RNAcentral's name for it is "U2 spliceosomal RNA (ENSETEG00000023998.1)". It matches the Rfam family "U2 spliceosomal RNA". From Rfam's summary of the family: U2 is a small nuclear RNA (snRNA) component of the spliceosome (involved in pre-mRNA splicing). Complementary binding between U2 snRNA (in an area lying towards the 5' end but 3' to hairpin I) and the branchpoint sequence (BPS) of the intron results the bulging out of an unpaired adenosine, on the BPS, which initiates a nucleophilic attack at the intronic 5' splice site, thus starting the first of two transesterification reactions that mediate splicing. The record is from RNAcentral. Lineage: Eukaryota; Metazoa; Chordata; Mammalia; Afrosoricida; Tenrecidae.